CUGGGUGUAAGUGUGCCAGCGCCAUGAUGUCAUGAGGCCCGAGAACUGGGUCAGGUGUGUGGGCCAGGACGGGGCCUGGAGGGCAGCCGCACAGUGCUCGCAGGGAUGGGGUGGUGACGUCAUGGGUUGGUGAAGGCGGGGCCUCGAAGGCACCGCUGGGAUGCGUGAGGUCAGGAAGGAGGCAGAGGCUGAGAAGAGGAACUGGGAGAGGCUCAGGACUGGAAUGAAGUCAGCCACCAGGAUGAGCCACUGGUCAUUCCGAAGCAAGGAUGGAGGAUGCAGCAACCUUGGCCAUGGACCAGCCGGCUGGCCUGCAGGUGGACUACGUCUUCCGGGGUGUGGAGCAUGCCGUGCGGGUGAUGGUUUCUGGGCAGGUGCUGGAGCUGGAGGUGGAGGACCGGAUGACGGCUGACCAGUGGCGGGGCGAGUUCGAUGCUGGCUAGUAGUGAGUCAGUCACCCUGGACCUGCUGACCUACACAGACCUGGAGUCCCUGAGGAACCACAAGAUGGGGGGCCGCCCAGGCUCCUUGGCCCCCAGGUCGGCCCAGCUCAACUCCAAGCGCUACCUGAUCCUCAUCUACUCCGUGGAGUUUGACAGGAUUCACUACCCGCUGCCCCUCCCGUACCAGGGCAAGCCAGACCCCGUGGUUCUGCAGGGCAUCAUCCGGUCACUGAAGGAGGAACUGGGCCGCCUGCAAGGGCUGGAUGGCCAGAACACUCGGGACACCCGGGAGAAUGAGAUCUG
This 746-nucleotide long non-coding RNA is filed under the name Pan troglodytes (chimpanzee). RNAcentral describes it as "long non-coding RNA NONPTRT008153". Lineage: Eukaryota; Metazoa; Chordata; Mammalia; Primates; Hominidae. The record is from RNAcentral.